Planococcus citri (citrus mealybug) is the source of this 1626-nucleotide long non-coding RNA. RefSeq lists it as uncharacterized. Lineage: Eukaryota; Metazoa; Arthropoda; Insecta; Hemiptera; Pseudococcidae. The record is from RefSeq and is a predicted model, not a curated record. The transcript is spliced from 7 exons.
UUUUCUAUAUAAGUUUGUCAGACCGGUGAAUUGUUUGAUAUUUGUGACGGUUGGUAGAAUAACUCUGUUUUGGCGUUUAUUGAAGAAUUUAUUUCUAAAACGUAGUAAUUUUUCCAUUUUUUGAUCUUGUUUUUUCACCGAGUCUUCUCCGAUAACGUGGCCAAGGAAAUCGACGUUUUUCUGAAAUAGUUUAGUUUUGCUCGGGUUUAGCGUCAUAUUCGCCUCGUUGAUUCGCCGAAAUACUUCUUCGAGCAGUUGGACGUGCUCUUCGAAUGUCUCAGUUUCAAUCAAGAAUUCAUCAACGAACAUUUUCACUGGAAGGCCGUAAAACAUUCUUCGUCUGCGAUCAAUGAAUUCGCCCAUAGCGACGACAGUACCAAAUGGAUCUACAUUCCAUUCCCAGAUUUCACCGUCCAUCUUAAAUCCGGUGUACUUUUUCGAGUUUUCGUCGAGUGGAUCUUGCCAGAAUCCAGAGCUAAAAUCGCCCGUUGAUCGAUAGACUUUCUUUUUACCAUCAUGAACCAAACGUUCCGAAUUUGGUGGUUCAUUGUAGUUUGGAAUUAGAUAUUUGUUCAGUUCUUCUGGAUCUAGACAGAUACGAAGCGAGCCGUUGGAUUUGCUUUCACUUUUUCGCGCAUAUGAACGCUUGGGAUAUAAUUUCUACCAUUAAAGUUGGGGACUUUAUCAACGUUGAACUUGAAUACCACUGGAUCACCAUUGUAACGACCAAUUUCGUCACGAAAUAUACGAGAGUGCGGAUUUAAACGUUGGAAAGCGAUUUGUUGUUGUUCGUUUGAUAGCUGAAUAUUUCUAUCAUUUCGUAGGAGCUUUUUACGAAGAAUUUCACCGGUAUCUUUCGCAGAAUUACGAAAUCAAUGUAUUCUAUCACGCCACCACGUUCACAUUUUGCUCUCAUUGGACCAAACUCAGUAUCUAUAUUGUUGUCUUUCAUAGCAUGGCGACCGAUAAGAAUUUUGCCUGGUUCGAAAGCAACGUGAUUUGGAUGAUUUCUAUGCAGCAUGAAAAGUGUGCCCUGAUCAAUGACGUUUGCGUCAGCACCGGAAUCAAGUAAAACGACGCAGUCUUCAGUCUCAAUUUUCAACGGAAUAGCACUUGUAUUUUGCGGAUGUUUAGGAUGUUGAUAGAGUACUAGCUGUUGGUUGGAGUGAACAUUAUAUAGAUCGUAUGUCAACUCCAUUUCAUCUUCGAUACUCAGAUUAGCUGGUUCACCGUUCGGAUGCUGCUCAGUGAUUGGUUCGCAGAUUUCGAUUUUUUCGUCGUUGUUUUUGCAUGUUUGGAUAAUUUUUGGUUUUCUUAUUGGUGAAAGUUUUUUCUUUGAUGGCGAGAAUACUUUUCUACGUAAUAUUGGCGGUGAUUUUACACGAAUUGGCGAUUUUUUUAGAGUAAUUCGCGCUACGGAUUCAGGUUCAGACUGGAUCAUAUUGUAUUUCUGCAAUAUUUCUUCGAACUGGCAUCGUAAUAUUUUACUGUUAUCAUCUCUAGGUAAGAAAUCAUGUAAUUUAUUACUAUAGAAGAAUUUCCCUUUUAUAACAUUAAUAACUCCAGAUCUAUUUGUUCUCAUUCGAUGCCCAGUUGUUACGAUAAAAUGCUUCGAUAGUUCAGUGA